GAUGAGCGCUGGCGGCGUGCCUAAUACAUGCAAGUCGAGCGAACAGACGAGGAGCUUGCUCCUCUGACGUUAGCGGCGGACGGGUGAGUAACACGUGGAUAACCUACCUAUAAGACUGGGAUAACUUCGGGAAACCGGAGCUAAUACCGGAUAAUAUAUUGAACCGCAUGGUUCAAUAGUGAAAGACGGUUUUGCUGUCACUUAUAGAUGGAUCCGCGCCGCAUUAGCUAGUUGGUAAGGUAACGGCUUACCAAGGCAACGAUGCGUAGCCGACCUGAGAGGGUGAUCGGCCACACUGGAACUGAGACACGGUCCAGACUCCUACGGGAGGCAGCAGUAGGCAAUCUUCCGCAAUGGGCGAAAGCCUGACGGAGCAACGCCGCGUGAGUGAUGAAGGUCUUCGGAUCGUAAAACUCUGUUAUUAGGGAAGAACAAAUGUGUAAGUAACUAUGCACGUCUUGACGGUACCUAAUCAGAAAGCCACGGCUAACUACGUG
RNAcentral lists this ribosomal RNA (497 nucleotides) under uncultured bacterium. RNAcentral's name for it is "partial 16S ribosomal RNA". It matches the Rfam family "Bacterial small subunit ribosomal RNA", at positions 28 to 507 of the family's 1533-position model. The record is from RNAcentral.